GACCCAGUGGUGCAUGGCGCACACCCACCGAAGAUGCUAAUGUUCAUUGAUAUGGUUGAUGGGAGCCCCCGUUCGAUUCGGGGCUGGGUCA
Non-coding RNA from Mycena rebaudengoi, 91 nucleotides. Lineage: Eukaryota; Fungi; Basidiomycota; Agaricomycetes; Agaricales; Mycenaceae. The record is from the annotation of a GenBank genome assembly.